RNAcentral lists this transfer RNA (82 nucleotides) under Paxillus rubicundulus Ve08.2h10. RNAcentral describes it as "tRNA-Asn". It matches the Rfam family "tRNA". Rfam says of the family: Transfer RNA (tRNA) molecules are approximately 80 nucleotides in length. Their secondary structure includes four short double-helical elements and three loops (D, anti-codon, and T loops). Lineage: Eukaryota; Fungi; Basidiomycota; Agaricomycetes; Boletales; Paxillaceae. The record is from RNAcentral.
UGCCCCAUGGCUGAGUUGGUCACAGCGUCCGACUGUUACCUUGAACAUCGGAAGGUCGUGAGUUCGAGCCUCACUGGGGCAG